This is a long non-coding RNA of Phyllopteryx taeniolatus (common seadragon), 2164 nucleotides long. RefSeq lists it as uncharacterized. The record is from RefSeq and is a predicted model, not a curated record. The transcript has 3 exons. NCBI's taxonomy places the organism in Eukaryota, Metazoa, Chordata, Actinopteri, Syngnathiformes, Syngnathidae.
UACUAACAGCAAUCCUCUUAUUGCCAAAAACAAUUAUCUCAGUUUUGUUGGGGUUUAAUUUAAGAAAAUCUUGGCUGAUCCAGUUAUGUAUCUGUUUUAGACAGUGGCACAACACCUUUUUACAAUUGAACUGUAGUCAUCUGGAGAUACUGCUAGAUAUAACUGUCAUCUGCAUAGCUAUAGUAUAGUCAAAAUUAAAGUUCUGAAGACCCAAGGGUAGCAUAUACAGGCUGAACAGGAGGGGUCCAAGAACUGAUCCUUGAGGGACCCCAUAGGUCAUUGCCAUUCGAUGAGAUUGAACACUUCCAGUCGUUACAAAAUAACUCCUUUCCUCCAGCUUCCAUGAAAAUUCAUCCCACAUUCCACAUCUCUUUGCUGAAGCCUGUGUCCACCUGCGCCCUAAGCCCUCCAGCCGAACCACCUCCUACCCCACCCCCUCCCCCCGGGUGAUUGACGACCAUCCUCGACGUGAGGUCUAGGGGGAGGGGGUUCCAGUACCUUGUCGACUGGGAAGGGUACGGGCCGGAGGAGUGUUCUUGGAUUUCCCGGAACCUCAUGCUCGAUCCUACUCUUUUGGACGACUUCUACAAGGCUCAACUGAGGAAGCCUGGCAGGACGCCGGGAGGCGUCCGUUGAGAGGGGGUUGCUGUCAUAUACUGCCCUGCAGUUCCAUUAUUGGAGCCGGGAGGGUGCUUUGUGUCCUCUCUCUCUCCCCCACCCCUCUCUGUUUUCAGCACCUGUCUUAAAUCAGCCUCAUCGCCACCGGUGUAUAUAAGCCUGCCUGUUCCAGGAAAUCCUCGCCUCCGUAUUGCAACCUCUCCUAGUGUGCUCACCUGUGUUCCUGACCCAUGUCCUUCCUGCCAUCAAGCCAGUCGCCUGUUCUGUCCACUGCCUACCAACUGUCCACGCCGCCGCCUGCCAACACAUCCAGAGCCACCUCCAUAACCUUUGCUCAAUAAACUGUUCAUCAUUUUACAUCUGCCUCCGCCUGCUCUUGGGUCCAGCUACUCCCCCCACGACAGACUGAACAAAAAUGUAAACAUUAAAAACGGAGAUACGUACAGUAUGUAGCGUGUUUUCUAACGUUGCUAGGCGUUGAAGCUUAUAAAAAGUAUUUAUAAAAAACAAGCGUGAGCUCUGUUGAUUUGUGAAAGCCACAAUCCCCAAUUAAAUUUAAAAUUAAAAACUAAAACAAAAUUUCCAGAGGAAAUUUGAGAAACUGGAAAGGUUUUUUUUUUACUUUCACCGAUCUCCCGACUGCAUCUCCGGAGCUCAGCCACAGUGAUCUUUGGGUUCUUCUUUACCUCUCUCACCAAGACUCUUCUUCCCUGAUUGCUCAGUUUGGCCGGACGGCCAACUCUAGGAAGGGUUCUGGUCAUCCCAAACGUCUUCCAUUUAAGGAUUAUGGAGGCCACUGUGCUCUUAGGAACCUUAAGUGCAGCACAAUAUUUUUUGUAACCUUGGUCAUAUCUGUGCAAUUCUGUCUCUGAACUUCAGGCAGUUCCUUUGACCUCAUGAUUCUCAUUUGCUCUGACAUGCACUGUGAGUUGUAAGAUCUUAUAUAGACAGGGGUGUGACUUUCCUAAUCAAGUCGAAUCAGUAUAAUCAAGCACAGCUGGACUCCAGUGAAGGUGUAGAACCAUUUUAAGGAUGAUCAGAAGAAAUGGACAGCACCUGAGUUAAAUAUGAGUGUCACAGCAAAGGGUCUGAAUACUGAUGGCUGUGUGAUAUUUCAGUUUUUCUAUUUUAAUAAAUCAGAAAAAAAAUCAAUUCUGGCAAUAUGGGGUGCUGUGUUUACAUUAAUGAGGAACAAAUGAACUUAAAUGAUUUUAGCAAAUGGCUGCAAUAUAACAAAGAGUUAAAAAUUUAAGGGGGUCUGAAUACUUUCCGUACCCACUGUAUAAUGUAUAGUAUAAAUUAGCUAGUUAGGAAAUAAAAACGAUACAAUUAUAAGCAGUCAUUGAAAUUGCAUAUCUACACUACAUUUAAUCAACAGUCACACGCAAAAAGGUCCAGUGUGCAUAUUUAUUUCUCUACAGUAUCUUUAAAGUCUGCAGACAUUAUGAGCACAAAUAACAGUUAAUUGGCAACACAAGAGAAGUCGUUACUUGUGCUCAUCUGAACAGCAGACGCUUGCAUAUCAAAAUAAAGGCCCCCCGUUCAA